GUUUCAAUGGAUACACCACGCAGGCUAGCCAAUGAGAGCACUCCAACAGCUCGUUGCUGUGGAAACGGGACCGGAUGGAACGGCCUGUGUUGAUGAAUUGUUAAUAAGUUUGUCAUUCACAAAAAACGGACAAGAAUUUCCGCUCCGGAUCAAAUGAGUGCAAAGAAACUGUGACAACGGUUCCACUGCAGCAAGAGGAAGCAAUGUGGUAUUUUUACUGAUAUAUCCUACCCCGUUCUCAUGUUUCCACUGGGUUAGCUAAAUACGAAGUGGCAUUACAGGUUUGGGCACGCAGUUGUCUACGUAGCCCAGUGCUGCUAGGUUGUGUAAUUCACAUAGGUUACAUAGCCUACAGUAGGGUAUACAAUUUCGAAUCAAACCAAGAGUCUAACUGAAAUACUGUAUUUCGCUCAAGGAUAGACUAUUUGCCACCCGUAUUCUGUAUGGUUUUGGUUCUAUGGCAAACAUCUAAAUGUUUUCUCCUAGUGCAUUUAGCAUAAACAGGUUUAUAUCGGGCCCGGCCUAUCCGUUUAAUUAAGUUUGGCCGUGGGAAUAAUACAUGGCGUUCAAUUGUUCGAGUGCUGUUCGUUUUUUUCAUUCUGAACAUUUACGCAUUGAUAGCGUUUGAUUUCCAGUUUGAUGUUAACUUAGGCUACUUAAAUAUUUAAUUGUUUUCUUUGGUUAUGCAAAACGCACAGAUAGCCUGCACAUUGAGGGGAACUCCGUAUGAACAAUCUACGAUAUUAGACAUAACUUAUUCUACGGGCCAAUUUUAGAAAAUGUUAAACGCAUUCGAACUGAAAACACAAAUAUUUAUUAGGCUUUUAUGAACGACCGUCUUUUCAAAGAUAUUGAUUUGUGUUGAAAUUGAAACAGUUUUAAGACUCGCUAGCGUUUGGAGGGUUUAUAACAGAGAUUUCUAUUGCGUAAAUCGACGUUACUUCUAACAGAGGGAAAUUGAAGUUGUUUUCUUUUUCCGAGUAUGGGCGCGUGGGCAGUCGGCAAUAGCAACCAGCAUGAUGGUGGGGCUAUUUCUAUCCUAUCCAGGCACGACUCGCUUGCGGGCUAACUGGAGGGCUGCAGUCUGCGGGGGUGGUGCUUUAUUACUAAGGUGUGUGAAUCAAGAAAAAAAAACUGUUAAUCCUGGCUUACUUUGAUAUAAACUGUACAAACUAUUCGAGCAUAAUGUAAUAGGCUACACAAGACAGAGGCCAGCCAAGAUUUAAUCCUCAAUUCAUGUAUGACGAAUGGUAAUAUCUGUUGUAGGCUAAUAAAAGAAGCAGUAGUGUCUAAAUGCAUAGUUAUUUAAAAUGGAAGUUUUACUUGAAGAAAAUGGCUAUUCAUCUGAAUAAUUAUCUCGGUCACACACCAAAAAUUUUGAGAUGUUAUCUUUCUCAGCAUCACAGGUCCUCCUAGACAUGAUGUUCUUGUCCAGAAGUGGCAAAAUCCUUAUGCCCACACGAAAGUCAGGGAAGAGUGGCAGCUAGCAGCUAAUCAAAAUAACAAAUUCACUGUUACCCAUGUACAGUACCAUCAAAAAUUAUUUACACAUGAUAAAAUGAAACAGACAAUACAGACAAUGUACUAUUUUGAACAUAUAAUGUUGUUUUUUUAUUUUAUAAAAAGAUAUGUCACGGUUAUCCACAGCCCUAAUAAUUCUACUAAACAAAACCCAGCAAAAAUAAAUGUGCAUUCACAUGAUAUUUCAUGUAAAUGUUAGGGAGCUCUAUUGUGGCCUACCAUGGCUUCCUGUUCCCAUGGGUAUAAAAAUAAGGUAACAUUAUAUCAAAUCCAUUCUUCACUAUCAUAGAGUGUACAGUAUAUAUUUAUGAGCACUAUGGAUGGUUAGGGUUCACAACAGUUACUUUUUUAGAAAUAAAUGUAUAAUUUCAGAAAAAUGUGAUUUUGGUUGAAUCCCAGGAAGUAGGAUGUUUUCCACAUGUUUGAGAAUUCAAAUAUUGCUCAAUAUUUGCAUGAUUUAUUAUAUAGUCUUUUUUGUUCCUUUUUAUCAGGAGUGUGAAUAACUUUGCUUCACCCCCAGCCUGUGGUUUUUAUGGAGUACGAACUACGGAUGAUUCUGGUUUUGUCCUUUUCAUAAUGAUUCCAACAGCAGCACCACAUGUGUGAAAUGGAGGAACAGCACUGAGGAGACAUAUUUAUGUAUGAUAGCACUACCAGUGGUCAGGAGUACAUGCCAAAUGAGCGUUCCUGUUGGCUACUCGAUAGAUGCACCACUGGUGUAAAUGGCACAGAAGGGCUCUGUGGGGUGCCACAUCCUCCCGCCCCUCUGAGUAAUUGCGCAAGGCGGCCGGAAAGGUUCCCACCCGUCCCCGGUGACAGCGCGGCUGAGCUUCCUCCGACCCCCUCUGGCAAAACGUGAGCUGUUGGCACGGUGCCACCGACCACGACGCACGCCAAUCAAUCGGUGUCAUCGCCAGAGAUCAGACCGCGUUAACAUCUCUGGGCAAGUUUCAGUUUCCUGUGGAAAGAUUACGACGUCUGUGCUUGUCAACAGCUGGUGUAGAACACAUGGUUUGGCUGAGACCUGAUGGAGAAAUGAAGGGAUGAGGCACACACCCAGGUGGACACCCUGGAUUUCCCAAUCUGCAUAGAGCUGGGACCUGGCAACAGACCUAUAAUGACCUGUUAAGAUAAACAACUGUCUGUUGGGUAGAUCAGUAAGGUAUGGUGGGUAAUAGUAAUCAUUUAAUUUUUAAUGCUUAACUUUAAUGUUUGUUGAAGUGGAAUUUGACAUUGUAAACUAUGAAUCUAAGUGCUUUUAAACAGUCCCACCCUGUAAUAGUGCUGUGCCAAUAAGUAUUUCAUUGUAUGUUAUGCUAAGGGUUGCCAAGGUACUGAAAUAAUAAUAUCAACAUUAAAACAUUAC
Anguilla anguilla (European eel) is the source of this 2887-nucleotide long non-coding RNA. RefSeq lists it as uncharacterized. Lineage: Eukaryota; Metazoa; Chordata; Actinopteri; Anguilliformes; Anguillidae. The transcript is spliced from 3 exons. The record is from RefSeq and is a predicted model, not a curated record.